GAUGGACGCUGGCGGCGUGCCUAAUACAUGCAAGUCGAGCGAACAGAUGAGAAGCUUGCUUCUCUGAUGUUAGCGGCGGACGGGUGAGUAACACGUGGGUAACCUACCUAUAAGACUGGGAUAACUCCGGGAAACCGGGGCUAAUACCGGAUAAUAUUUUGAACCGCAUGGUUCAAUAGUGAAAGACGGUUUCGGCUGUCACUUAUAGAUGGACCCGCGCCGUAUUAGCUAGUUGGUAAGGUAAUGGCUUACCAAGGCGACGAUACGUAGCCGGCCUGAGAGGGCGAUCGGCCACACUGGAACUGAGACACGGUCCAGACUCCUACGGGAGGCAGCAGUAGGGAAUCUUCCGCAAUGGGCGAAAGCCUGACGGAGCAACGCCGCGUGAGUGAUGAAGGGUUUCGGCUCGUAAAACUCUGUUAUUAGGGAAGAACAAAUGUGUAAGUAACUGUGCACAUCUUGACGGUACCUAAUCAGAAAGCCACGGCUAACUACGUGCCAGCCGCCGCGGUAA
RNAcentral lists this ribosomal RNA (514 nucleotides) under uncultured bacterium. RNAcentral describes it as "partial 16S ribosomal RNA". It matches the Rfam family "Bacterial small subunit ribosomal RNA", at positions 28 to 523 of the family's 1533-position model. The record is from RNAcentral.